RNAcentral lists this ribosomal RNA (492 nucleotides) under uncultured bacterium. Its description in RNAcentral is "partial 16S ribosomal RNA". It matches the Rfam family "Bacterial small subunit ribosomal RNA", at positions 29 to 507 of the family's 1533-position model. The record is from RNAcentral.
AGUGAACGCUGGCGGUAGGCCUAACACAUGCAAGUCGAACGGCAGCACAGUAAGAGCUUGCUCUUACGGGUGGCGAGUGGCGGACGGGUGAGGAAUACAUCGGAAUCUACUUUUUCGUGGGGGAUAACGUAGGGAAACUUACGCUAAUACCGCAUACGACCUACGGGUGAAAGCAGGGGAUCUUCGGACCUUGCGCGAUUGAAUGAGCCGAUGUCGGAUUAGCUAGUUGGCGGGGUAAAGGCCCACCAAGGCGACGAUCCGUAGCUGGUCUGAGAGGAUGAUCAGCCACACUGGAACUGAGACACGGUCCAGACUCCUACGGGAGGCAGCAGUGGGGAAUAUUGGACAAUGGGCGCAAGCCUGAUCCAGCCAUACCGCGUGGGUGAAGAAGGCCUUCGGGUUGUAAAGCCUUUUUGUUGGGAAAGAAAAGCAGCAGGUUAAUACCCCGCUGUUCUGACGGUACCCAAAAAAUAAGCACCGGCUAACUUCGUG